RNAcentral lists this ribosomal RNA (554 nucleotides) under Tautoga onitis. RNAcentral's name for it is "partial 16S ribosomal RNA". It matches the Rfam family "Bacterial large subunit ribosomal RNA", at positions 1844 to 2597 of the family's 2925-position model. The record is from RNAcentral. Lineage: Eukaryota; Metazoa; Chordata; Actinopteri; Labriformes; Labridae.
AAUAAGAGGUCCCGCCUGCCCUGUGACUAUAAGUUUAACGGCCGCGGUAUUUUGACCGUGCGAAGGUAGCGCAAUCACUUGUCUUUUAAAUGAAGACCUGUAUGAAUGGCACGACGAGGGCUUGACUGUCUCCUCUUUCCAGUCAAUGAAAUUGAUCUCCCCGUGCAGAAGCGGGGAUAUAACCAUAAGACGAGAAGACCCUAUGGAGCUUUAGACACAAAAGUACCCCCUGUUAAACACCCCUGUUUAAAGGGCUAAACCAAGGGGAUCCUACCCUAAUGUCUUUGGUUGGGGCGACCGCGGGGAAACACAAAACCCCCAUGUGGAACGGGACCACCUAUUCCUAAAACAGAGAGCUACAGCUCCAAGAAACAAAAUUUUUGACCUCCAGAUCCGGCAAAGCCGAUCAACGGACCGAGUUACCCUAGGGAUAACAGCGCAAUCCUCUUUUAGAGCCCAUAUCGACAAGAGGGUUUACGACCUCGAUGUUGGAUCAGGACAUCCUAAUGGUGCAGCCGCUAUUAAGGGUUCGUUUGUUCAACGAUUAAAGUCCU